RNAcentral lists this long non-coding RNA (284 nucleotides) under Brassica napus (rape). RNAcentral's name for it is "long non-coding RNA (BNAP_LNC024021)". The record is from RNAcentral. Lineage: Eukaryota; Viridiplantae; Streptophyta; Magnoliopsida; Brassicales; Brassicaceae.
AGCCAAAAGACAUUUCACAUCUUUAUACGCUUAUUUAAUAAAUAUAUAAAUAUAUAUAAUUAUUUUAAUAAAUAAACAAUAUAAAAAACAAUUUUUUUUGUCGUUUUCGAAUUAUACAUUUUUGAAUUCAAACUUCUUUAUAAAUUUUUUUCGAAGAUUUUUUAGAAAUUUUAUUUUGAAAUCCAAAAAUUAGAACUUAAAACUAUUUAAUAAAUAUAUUUUAAAUUUAAGUAUUUAUUUGUUUAUUUUUAAAAAUCCUAAACUCACCCCCAAACUCCCCUCCU